UGCCAUAAAUUCUUUGGAUUCAAAUCACAUUGAAUAGGAAUAUUGAUUAUAUAAGUCAGAACAACAACAAAGAGUGGGAAGAAACUAAAUAAGAGGACAAAUUUGCAACAUUAAACAAUGCAUCCCACAUCGGUAAGCAAGUGAAAGUCUUGGGUGCUGUAUAUAGUUUGCAUCCCUUCCCUUAUAAGCUGACUUUUAAGGUAGAGUUAGAUAAGGACAUAUUAUUUGGUAUCAGAACCUCACUUUGUUUGGCCGAUGGGUCAUGAUCUCAAUUCUUUAUACAAAAACAUAGUCUAGUAUGGUCGAGAAUGAUGCGUCCCACACUAGUUAACAACGGAGUCUUGACCGAUAUAUAUAUCGCUUUGCAACCUUCCCCUUACAAGCUAGCUUUUAAGGUGAAAUUAGACAAGUUCAUAUCAUUUGGUAUCAAAAUCUCACCAUGUUUAGUCGAUGGACCAUGUUCCUGAUUCUCUGUACGAGAACAUACAAUCUAAAAGGGUCGAGAAUGAUAUAUCCCACAUCGGUUAGCAAGGAAAGUUUUGAGUGUUAUACAUAUAUAUAGGUUUGUGACCCUCCCCUUGCAAGCUGCCUUUUCAGAUGGAAUUAAGCAGGUUCAUGUCACUUGUGGCCUUGGUGACCUAAAGCCUUUAAUAUCUAUGCUUGACGUAUAUGAAACUUUCAACUAAAGGGCUAAGGAGGUGAAGUUCAAUAAAUCAUGUAUAAUAGCAAAUACUCCUAUUGGUACCUAAACCAGACUUUAAAACAAUACAGGCAAAAAUUGAAAAUCUUAUUGUAAACUAAAAUCAAGUACUUUUAAACAUCCUUUCAGUCUUUAUUAAUGAUAUGGGAAAAUUUAGAAUAGCCAAGCUAUUGACAGAGAAGAAGAAGAAACAAAUCCUACAAUAUACCUAAGGGUUUGGGUAGAGAAUCAUUAUAACAAAAUUUUUGUACAGGGAUUUCAUAGUUCAAGCCAUUUAAGUUCAAAAAGUCAACAAAGAACCUAACAACCUGAGAAAGACUGAUGCAGUCAGACAAAUGAUUGCACUUCUAAAAAAUUUAUACCUUUAAGAGUUCGAAUUUUCCACAAGACUUUAAACUAGGUUGAGGACAUGACAAGUACGAAACUUUCAACUAAUUGGUUAUGCAGGCGAAAUUCAAGUUCAAUAAAUCAUGUAUGGCAAACCGUCCAAUUGGCACCUCCACCAGUCUUCAAAACAAAGGGGCAAGAAAUUGAAAAUAGAGAAAAUAGAAAAUAUGUAACCGUAAUAAAGUGUUUUCAAUCACAACCCCCUCCCCUCUCUCUUUCUCUUCCCAAAGAAAAAGAAACAAAUGCUACGAUAUAAACAAAAAGUUUGAGCAAAAAAAGUCAAGUAUAAGAACUUUAGCAUUGACAUAUCAUAGUUUAAGCCAUUUAAGUUCGAAAGCUCCCCAAGCUAACAAUGACUACAACAAUAAAGCAGAAACUACUGUCUAACUAGCAGAUGCACUAGACAGUAAAUAUAGCAUGAGCAUCUCCAUCUAAAGUUGCACAUAUUCACAGCUGCACCACUUAAGUUACCUGAUCGACUGAUUAUACAAUGAUGCAAGAAUUCCUGAACCACAGGUGAGUUGAAUCUAAAAUAACUUAAUACUAUCAAUAAGAGGGGUAUGAUGUAUGGUUACUCGAAUCAUAGCGACGUGACCUAGAACGGCUAAUGCUAUCAAAAGUGGACCCAAAAACUCUCCGACCACUAUUAUAAUUGAUGCCAUUGAAUUGUGACCCAUAUCCAUUAUGAUGGUGUGUUACACCAGGGGGAACUGGCACUGAAUCAAAGAACAAAUUUUUUUCAGGAGAAAAAAAACUAAAUAAGUACCUUUAACAUUUUCUUUGUCAUAUAUAAAUAUGAAGAGGAAGGGAAAAGAGUGUGAAAAGACCCGAUACCUUGGGAAUAAUUGGAAGGAGACGCUGAAACCCUGCAUGUUGCAGACAACCUCAUAGAUUGAUUAGAGAUAUCUACAUUGUUCAUUGGCACAGGGUAUGGCCGUGGCCUGUUAGAUGAAUUUGUCGCAGACAUGGAUCCACUGGGAGGAUUUUGAGAUGGUUUGUCUUGCCCAGAAAUCGCAAAUUUCAAAGUCCGAUUGUAGAGAAUCACGAGGCCAGAGAAAAGCUUGACGGCAUAUUCUGCAAUCUCCUCAGUUUCAUAUUCUGCAAAUGCGUAUCCUUUGGGUCUAUCAGUUUCCUUGUCUCGAGGAACGUACAAAUCCACCACCCGCCCAGCUUGGAUUAGAAUAUCAUACAAAACCCUAUCGCUCACCCUCUCAUCCAAAUUACCUACGUAAACGGUGGAACUAGUGUUUCCAGACAUGGUCGUUAAGCUUUGGUUCUGGCUCAGGCGAAACCACAGAAAACCUAGCUCAAAACGGCGUCGCAGAGAACGAUCCUUCCCAGGAAAAAAGAGAGGUACAGAGAAAGAUCGAAGAGAUGGAAAACGUGAUCGAGA
Molecule: unclassified non-coding RNA, 2480 nt
Filed under: Hevea brasiliensis (rubber tree)
Lineage: Eukaryota; Viridiplantae; Streptophyta; Magnoliopsida; Malpighiales; Euphorbiaceae
Source: RNAcentral